UCGCCCUACGGACGCAGCAGUGAGGAAUAUUGGUCAAUGGUCGGGAGACUGAACCAGCCAAGCCGCGUGAGGGAUGAAGGUACAGAGUAUCGUAAACCUCUUUUGUCAGGGAACAAAGGCGGGGACGUGUCCCCGGAUGAGUGUACCUGAAGAAAAAGCAUCGGCUAACUCCGUGCCAGCAGCCGCGGUAAUACGGAGGAUGCGAGCGUUAUCCGGAUUUAUUGGGUUUAAAGGGUGCGCAGGCGGUCUGUUAAGUCAGCGGUCAAAGCCCGGGGCUCAACCCCGGCCCGCCGCUGAAACCGGCG
This 305-nucleotide ribosomal RNA is filed under the name uncultured bacterium. RNAcentral's name for it is "bacterial SSU rRNA". It matches the Rfam family "Bacterial small subunit ribosomal RNA", at positions 334 to 638 of the family's 1533-position model. The record is from RNAcentral.